RNAcentral lists this RNase MRP RNA (279 nucleotides) under Marchantia polymorpha subsp. ruderalis. RNAcentral's name for it is "RNase MRP". It matches the Rfam family "RNase MRP". From Rfam's summary of the family: RNase MRP is an enzymatically active ribonucleoprotein with two distinct roles in eukaryotes. In mitochondria it plays a direct role in the initiation of mitochondrial DNA replication. In the nucleus it is involved in precursor rRNA processing, where it cleaves the internal transcribed spacer 1 between 18S and 5.8S rRNAs. Lineage: Eukaryota; Viridiplantae; Streptophyta; Marchantiopsida; Marchantiales; Marchantiaceae. The record is from Rfam by way of RNAcentral.
CUGCACGGAGAAGGGAUGCUUCGGCGUACAUGGACCGGACUUCCGGUGCAUGGACUAUCACCGCCGUGCGAAAGUCCCCGAGCGGCACCCCAAGAGCGGGUGUACGGGCAGAGAAUGCCAGCCCGGAAGGGCAGACCCCCGAGUGAGGAGCGCCGCGCAGAGGCCUCGGCUGAGCUUAAUCGUUCCUCGCGGGGAAGCUCGCUACAGCACAGUCCUGCAUUCCGCCGGCUCGCGGUCUACGCGGGUUCGUAACAGAACGGGGCUUACUCUCUCCGUGCU